GCGAAUGUGGCGAAGUGGGUAACGCACCGGAUUGUGGCUCCGGCAUUUGUGGGUUCGAUUCCCAUCAUUCGCC
RNAcentral lists this transfer RNA (73 nucleotides) under Enterococcus faecium. RNAcentral's name for it is "tRNA-His". It matches the Rfam family "tRNA". Rfam says of the family: Transfer RNA (tRNA) molecules are approximately 80 nucleotides in length. Their secondary structure includes four short double-helical elements and three loops (D, anti-codon, and T loops). Further hydrogen bonds mediate the characteristic L-shaped molecular structure. tRNAs have two regions of fundamental functional importance: the anti-codon, which is responsible for specific mRNA codon recognition, and the 3' end, to which the tRNAs corresponding amino acid is attached (by aminoacyl-tRNA synthetases). tRNAs cope with the degeneracy of the genetic code in two manners: having more than one tRNA (with a specific anti-codon) for a particular amino acid; and 'wobble' base-pairing, i.e. permitting non-standard base-pairing at the 3rd anti-codon position. The record is from RNAcentral. Lineage: Bacteria; Bacillati; Bacillota; Bacilli; Lactobacillales; Enterococcaceae.